Molecule: long non-coding RNA, 636 nt
Filed under: Oreochromis niloticus (Nile tilapia)
Lineage: Eukaryota; Metazoa; Chordata; Actinopteri; Cichliformes; Cichlidae
Description: lncRNA (ENSONIG00000036276.1)
Source: RNAcentral
AUGUGUCUUCCUAACCGAGCGUCUAACUUUCCUCCAUCUGUGUCUCUGUCUGUAUGUUGUAAACGUAUUUCAUGUGUUAUUUCUGUGUCCGUCUUUGACCCGUCAGUGUCUUUUGUGUCCCAUCGAACAGCUUCAUCCAACAACCACAAACUAACCAGGAGUUCCUCCAACCGCAGAAGCAUCGCUGGGUUCCCCGAAGAAACAUCCAGAGCCAAAACACCCACGGGGGAGUCAGCAAACACACCAAGCCGCAGUUCUUCCUUCAGGGCCAACAGCAAGGGCCCUGCCACACCGAAACGGGUGAGGUCUAGCAGGAGUCGCGCCCAGUCUCCCUGCUCCCCUGGUCAGUAUCCGCCCUCCCCUCUCCGGCAGAGAGCCAGCACCCCCGGCACCGAUGAGGUCAAAGGUCACAGCACCCUGGAGAGGAAAUCCACCAAAUCUGAGACAUCGGAGAAGAAGAUCCCCAAAUCCACCAGCAGAGAACUCAACGCAGAGUCUCCGGGCACGCCCACAGGAAGGAGUGUGGGCGGGACCACAGACGCCGAGGAGGCGUCCAGACUGCUGGCCGAGAGACGCCGUCUGGCCCGAAUACAGAAGGAGCAGGAGGAGCGACAGCGGCAGGAGGAGGAGAGGUGA